CCUACGGGGGGCUGCAGUAGGGAAUCUUCCGCAAUGGACGAAUUUCUGACGGAGCAACGCCGCGUGAGCGAAGAAGGCCUUCGGGUCGCAAAGCUCUGUUGUUAGGGAAGAACAAGUAUCGGAGUAACUGCCGGUACCGUGACGGUACCUAACCAGAAAGCCACGGCUAACUACGUGCCCGCAGCCACGGUAAUACGUAGGUGGCAAGCGUUGUCCGGAAUUAUUGGGCGUAAAGCGCGCGCAGGUGGUUCCUUAAGUCUGAUAUGAAAGCCCACGGCUCAACCGGGGAGGGUCAUUGGAAACUGGGGAACUUGGGUGCAGGAGAGAGGAGCGGAAUUCCACGAGGAGCGGUGAAAUGCGUAGAGAUGUGGAGGAACGCCAGUAGGGAAGGCGGCUGUCUGGUCUGUUACUGACGCUGAGGCGCGAAAGCGUGGGGAGCGAACAGUAUUAGAUACCCGUGUAGGC
This 465-nucleotide ribosomal RNA is filed under the name uncultured bacterium. RNAcentral describes it as "bacterial SSU rRNA". It matches the Rfam family "Bacterial small subunit ribosomal RNA", at positions 338 to 795 of the family's 1533-position model. The record is from RNAcentral.